AGAAAGAGCAAAGGAGACAUUAGGAGUCAGCCAUAGAGACAUUAGGAGACAAACUAAACAGCAGUCCAGGUACAAAGACACGAGAUCAGAAGGAGCGGCGGUCCGCAUUGAGGUCACGGAAGAGAUCUGUGCUGUUCUGUAAAGUUCUCUGUCUUGUGGAUAUGAAGGAUGAAGAGAGGCAGCUGGAGAACUCAGAAUCUCUGCUGCAGCUGAGAAGGGAUCCAGCCUGGCUUUAAUACUGGAGCAAAGACGAGAUUGGCUGUGCUGAGCCACCUAACAUGUCUUUGUUGGAUGAUGGUUGAUUGAUAAUUCUUUUUGAGUAAUUCAAUGAAUAAAUGAAUGCUGUUUGUA
Long non-coding RNA from Meriones unguiculatus (Mongolian gerbil), 351 nucleotides. RefSeq lists it as uncharacterized. NCBI's taxonomy places the organism in Eukaryota, Metazoa, Chordata, Mammalia, Rodentia, Muridae. The transcript has 2 exons. The record is from RefSeq and is a predicted model, not a curated record.